GACAGAGGGUGCAAACGUUGUUCGGAUUUACUGGGCGUAAAGCGCGUGUAGGCGGCUUUGCAAGUCGGAUGUGAAAGCCCACGGCUCAACCGUGGAAGUGCAUCCGAAACUGCAUGGCUGGAGUCUCGGAGAGGAAGGUGGAAUGCUUGGUGUAGAGGUGAAAUUCGUAGAUAUCAAGCAGAACACCUGCGGCGAAGGCGGCCUUCUGGACGAUGACUGACGCUGAGACGCGAAAGCUGGGGGAGCAAACGGG
Molecule: ribosomal RNA, 253 nt
Filed under: uncultured bacterium
Lineage: Bacteria
Description: partial 16S ribosomal RNA
Rfam family: Bacterial small subunit ribosomal RNA
Source: RNAcentral